AACGCACCUUGCGCUCCUUGGUAUUCCGAGGAGCAUGCCUGUUUGAGUGUCAUGGUAUUCUCAUCUCUUACUUGUUUUAUUCUAUGAGACAAGUUUGAGCUGGAUGUGGAGGUUUCUGCCGGUGCUUGCCAUCGGCUCCUCUGAAAUGCAUGAGUGCAGAUGUUUUCCGAGUGUUCUCUCAGCGUGAUAAUUGUCUAGCUGUGGGCAUGAGGUGAUAUUAAAUCUGUGCUUCAAACCGUCUCUUGACUGAGACAAAUCAUUGACAUCUGACCUCAAAUCAGGUAGGACUACCCGCUGAACUUAA
RNAcentral lists this unclassified non-coding RNA (304 nucleotides) under uncultured fungus. RNAcentral describes it as "sequence contains ITS2". The stretch from base 1 to 52 matches the Rfam family "5.8S ribosomal RNA", at positions 103 to 154 of the family's 154-position model. Lineage: Eukaryota; Fungi. The record is from RNAcentral.